RNAcentral lists this ribosomal RNA (490 nucleotides) under uncultured bacterium. Its description in RNAcentral is "partial 16S ribosomal RNA". It matches the Rfam family "Bacterial small subunit ribosomal RNA", at positions 29 to 507 of the family's 1533-position model. The record is from RNAcentral.
AGUGAACGCUGGCGGCAGGCCUAACACAUGCAAGUCGAACGGCAGCACAAGAGAGCUUGCUCUCUGGGUGGCGAGUGGCGGACGGGAGAGGAAUGCAUCGGAAUCUGCCCAUUUGUGGGGGAUAACCUCGGGAAACCGGGACUAAUACCGCAUACGACCUACGGGGGAAAGCAGGGGAUCUUCGGACCUUGCGCAGAUGGAUGAGCCGAUGCCGGAUUAGCUAUUUGGAGGGGUAAAGGCCCACCAAGGCGACGAUCCGUAGCUGGUCUGAGAGGAUGAUCAGCCACACUGGGACUGAGACACGGCCCAGACUCCUACGGGAGGCAGCAGUGGGGAAUAUUGGACAAUGGGCGCAAGCCUGAUCCAGCCAUGCCGCGUGUGUGAAGAAGGCCUUCGGGUUGUAAAGCACUUUUGUUGGGAAAGAAAAGCAGCCGGUUAAUACCCGGUUGUCAUGACGGUACCCAAAGAAUAAGCACCGGCUAACUUCGUG